Molecule: ribosomal RNA, 871 nt
Filed under: Triticum aestivum (bread wheat)
Lineage: Eukaryota; Viridiplantae; Streptophyta; Magnoliopsida; Poales; Poaceae
Description: partial small subunit ribosomal RNA
Source: RNAcentral
CCCCCAUCCCCAACUGGCAACGUGCCACCAUCCCGCCCUCAACCGGCGACCGGAGACGCCGCCCCGCCCCGCCACCGGCCGCCGCCGUUCCCGCCGCAUCAUCUACCGCGCCGCUGCCGCCCCGCCACCGACCGCUGUCGCCGCCGCCCACCAUCGACCGCCGUUGCCGCCCCGUCCCCAACAGGAGACGCUGCCGCCGCCGAAGACCCGCUACACCGCGCCACCUACGGAGGCCCUGUUUUCUGUGCCGUCGCGCCUCCAAUGGCCAGGAUCCGCGCCGCCACGCCUCCAUUGGCCUGGAUCCGCACCGCCGCGCACCGAAACAGGGCCCGUCCACCUCUGCCGCAACAGUCUACCCUCCCGCAGCUGGGGGCGCGUGUGAUGGCUGCCAUCGGUGGCAGCGUGCCCAGAUGCCUCCCUCCCCCACGGUGCAGCAAGCUCGAGGCCGUCACCAGACUCCCACCUGGUCGUGGACAUCUCCCCUCCUGCCGCUGCACGGGCUCCACCAUGGACGCCCCCACUCCUCCACCCCCCGAGAUUUCUGCACCUACAUACGGCCGUGAUCUGCUGCCCACCCGUGGUUGCGUCGAGCAACAUCUUGUGCUCGCCAACGCGUGAGGUGCUGCUGCCUGCUAGUGCUACAAGCACGCGAGUUACGUACCCUACCUCUCUCUCGGAUCAGUGCAACAAGGAGCCUCGUACUUUGAUGAUGAAUUAGUUGUACACGAGCGUGUUGUCCAUGAGUACGUUGGUGCAGAUCUCAUGUGCUUUUGUAUGCACGUGUGAUGAUGAAUUGGUUGAGCAUUGCACCCAUGCAAAUAUAUGUGUUUCUAUCUACUUUGAGAAAUUCGUAUGAUACUGGAGAAGAAAG